RNAcentral lists this ribosomal RNA (497 nucleotides) under uncultured bacterium. Its description in RNAcentral is "partial 16S ribosomal RNA". It matches the Rfam family "Bacterial small subunit ribosomal RNA", at positions 28 to 507 of the family's 1533-position model. The record is from RNAcentral.
GAUGAACGCUGGCGGCGUGCCUAAUACAUGCAAGUCGAGCGAACAGAUAAGGAGCUUGCUCCUUUGACGUUAGCGGCGGACGGGUGAGUUACACGUGGAUAACCUACCUAUAAGACUGGGAUAACUUCGGGAAACCGGAGCUAAUACCGGAUAACAUAUUGAACCGCAUGGUUCAAUAGUGAAAGGCGGCUUUGCUGUCACUUAUAGAUGGAUCCGCGCCGUAUUAGCUAGUUGGUAAGGUAACGGCUUACCAAGGCAACGAUACGUAGCCGACCUGAGAGGGUGAUCGGCCACACUGGAACUGAGACACGGUCCAGACUCCUACGGGAGGCAGCAGUAGGGAAUCUUCCGCAAUGGGCGAAAGCCUGACGGAGCAACGCCGCGUGAGUGAUGAAGGUCUUCGGAUCGUAAAACUCUGUUAUCAGGGAAGAACAAAUGUGUAAGUAACUGUGCACAUCUUGACGGUACCUAAUCAGAAAGCCACGGCUAACUACGUG